This 117-nucleotide ribosomal RNA is filed under the name Microterricola viridarii. The record is from RNAcentral. Lineage: Bacteria; Bacillati; Actinomycetota; Actinomycetes; Micrococcales; Microbacteriaceae.
UUCGGCGGCCAUAGCGAGAGGGAAACGCCCGGUCACAUUCCGAACCCGGAAGCUAAGACUCUCUGCGCCGAUGGUACUGCAGGGGGGACCCUGUGGGAGAGUAGGUCACCGCCGGAC